Cyprinus carpio (common carp) is the source of this 584-nucleotide long non-coding RNA. RefSeq lists it as uncharacterized. The transcript is spliced from 3 exons. Lineage: Eukaryota; Metazoa; Chordata; Actinopteri; Cypriniformes; Cyprinidae. The record is from RefSeq and is a predicted model, not a curated record.
UGGAUGUUACAGGGACAGAUGAGACACAUGUGUUUAUCCGGUAGAGAGUGACUGAUCCAGGAAUGCUGCUAUCAAAGGCUUUGAAUCUUUUGUGAUGGAGCAGGGCUUGCAAGGCAAGGUGAAAAAAGGGAAAACCAAGCCAAAACAAAGACAGAAAGUUUACAGGUAGUCAUGCUCAUGGAGAGCAGGCAAACACAGCGGCACCCAGAUUGUUCUCCCGCUCUUGCUUCAAGGUUGUGUGGUUCAGGGGGACGUCAUCAUGGUCUUCCUCAUCCUCUGGCUCAAUGAUGUCCCCAUUGAGAAGAGUGAGAUUACACGCAGCACGCAAAAACUUCAGGCAUGAAGGCAGGGCUCACCUUUAAAGCCUGAAGAAAAUAGAGCGCCAGCGUGUUUUCAGCAUGCCAAAGGCUUGCUCUACUCUGCUUCACACAGGAGUGGUUGCUGUUGAAACAAGCUGCACAGUGUUUUAUAAGGCUUUUUCCCAUCCAUGACCAGAUUCCAGUCUGACUGCAGCAAUGAGGGUUGAAGGCAGGUUAAGGUGGACACGGUGGUCAGAUGGCAGUAGGAUGUGGGCUUCACCGCCU